UUAACUCAAAAUUUGUAUGGAAUUGGAAAGUUUGCCUACGUUUGUCGCUAGGGGCGCUGUUCCAACUCCAUACAAAUUUGAGUUA
Molecule: microRNA precursor, 85 nt
Filed under: Bombyx mori (domestic silkworm)
Lineage: Eukaryota; Metazoa; Arthropoda; Insecta; Lepidoptera; Bombycidae
Description: mir-2807 microRNA precursor family
Rfam family: mir-2807 microRNA precursor family
Source: Rfam by way of RNAcentral